UCUACGGGGGGCAGCAGUGAGGAAUAUUGGUCAAUGGGCGCGAGCCUGAACCAGCCAAGUAGCGUGAAGGAUGACUGCCCUACGGGUUGUAAACUUCUUUUAUAAAGGAAUAAAGUGAGGCACGUGUGCCUUUUUGUAUGUACUUUAUGAAUAAGGAUCGGCUAACUCCGUGCCAGCAGCCGCGGUAAUACGGAGGAUCCGAGCGUUAUCCGGAUUUAUUGGGUUUAAAGGGAGCGUAGAUGGGUUGUUAAGUCAGUUGUGAAAGUUUGCGGCUAAACCGUAAAAUUGCAAUUGAAACUGGCUGUCUUGAGAUGUCGAGAGGUAUGCGGAAUGCGCAGUGUAGCGGUGAAAUGCUUAGAUAUUGCGCAGAACUCCGAUUGCGAAGGCAGCAUACCGGCGGCGAUCUGACGCUGAGGCACGAAAGCGUGGGUAUCGAACAGGAUUAGAUACCCUGGUAGUC
RNAcentral lists this ribosomal RNA (460 nucleotides) under uncultured bacterium. RNAcentral describes it as "partial 16S ribosomal RNA". It matches the Rfam family "Bacterial small subunit ribosomal RNA", at positions 338 to 795 of the family's 1533-position model. The record is from RNAcentral.